Molecule: ribosomal RNA, 502 nt
Filed under: uncultured bacterium
Lineage: Bacteria
Description: partial 16S ribosomal RNA
Rfam family: Bacterial small subunit ribosomal RNA
Source: RNAcentral
AUUGAACGCUGGCGGCAGGCUUAACACAUGCAAGUCGAGCGGGGUGAUGGUGCUUGCACUAUCACUUAGCGGCGGACGGGUGAGUAAUGCUUAGGAAUCUGCCUAUUAGUGGGGGACAACAUCUCGAAAGGGAUGCUAAUACCGCAUACGUCCUACGGGAGAAAGCAGGGGAUCACUUGUGACCUUGCGCUAAUAGAUGAGCCUAAGUCGGAUUAGCUAGUUGGUGGGUAAAGGCCUACCAAGGCGACGAUCUGUAGCGGGUCUGAGAGGACGAUCCGCCACACUGGGACUGAGACACGGCCCAGACUCCUACGGGAGGCAGCAGUGGGGAAUAUUGGACAAUGGGGGGAACCCUGAUCCAGCCAUGCCGCGUGUGUGAAGAAGGCCUUAUGGUUGUAAAGCACUUUAAGCGAGGAGGAGGCUCUUUUGGUUAAUACCCAAGAUGAGUGGACGUUACUCGCAGAAUAAGCACCGGCUAACUCUGUGCCAGCCGCCGCGGUAA